GAUGAACGCUGGCGGCGUGCCUAAUACAUGCAAGUCGAGCGAACAGACGAGGAGCUUGCUCCUCUGACGUUAGCGGCGGACGGGUGAGUAACACGUGGAUAACCUACCUAUAAGACUGGGAUAACUUCGGGAAACCGGAGCUAAUACCGGAUAAUAUAUUGAACCGCAUGGUUCAAUAGUGAAAGACGGUUUUGCUGUCACUUAUAGAUGGAUCCGCGCCGCAUUAGCUAGUUGGUAAGGUAACGGCUUACCAAGGCAACGAUGCGUAGCCGACCUGAGAGGGUGAUCGGCCACACUGGAACUGAGACUCGGUCCAGACUCCUACGGGAGGCAGCAGUAGGGAAUCUUCCGCAAUGGGCGAAAGCCUGACGGAGCAACGCCGCGUGAGUGAUGAAGGUCUUCGGAUCGUAAAACUCUGUUAUUAGGGAAGAACAAAUGUGUAAGUGACUAUGCACGUCUUGACGGUACCUAAUCAGAAAGCCACGGCUAACUACGUG
This 497-nucleotide ribosomal RNA is filed under the name uncultured bacterium. RNAcentral's name for it is "partial 16S ribosomal RNA". It matches the Rfam family "Bacterial small subunit ribosomal RNA", at positions 28 to 507 of the family's 1533-position model. The record is from RNAcentral.